CCUAGUGAGUGAGUUACUUUUAUGCUGGCUCCUAAAUCGGGGCAAGAUAAAUUAUCAGUCCAUGGACAGAUUUAAGGUGAGAAAAACAAUUAAGGAAGGAAGGUAGGAGGAAACCCCAUUUUCCUCUAAUUAUGCUGUGAAGAAUUGCUCUAAUAGAUCCCUAUUCCCAACCCACCUGAAGCAAAGCAGUAAAGAAUAUAUGAAAAAGGAUGGCGGCCAAGCAAGGCGUAGCGUUCACAAAGCUGCACAUUUUAACUAUUUGGAGUUAAGGCGUAGACAAAGAAGACUAUUUUGAACCUAAAGCUCAGAUACUUUGCCAACCACGUGACAAGAGAAGACUCAUUGGAAAAUACCCUUGAAGGCAAAAGAAGACCGAAAAUGAGAUGGUUAGUGUCAUAGAUAUAAUGAACAUGAAUUUGAACAAACUCUGGAAGACAGAGGAAUCUGAUAUGGUAUAGUCCAUGGGGCCAUGAAGAAUGGGACAUGGCAUAAUGACUGAACAAACAAAUCUUUUGGGGGGAGGGCCAAUGUCUGGAAUCUAUUAGUAGUGAAAUAAUGAAUUAUCAUUAUUUUCAGUAACUGGGAGUCCUACCAACCUAUUCCAUUUAAUUAAAAUUAUCCUAUUUAUUGUAAAUCAUUUAAUAUAAUAGGCCAUAUUAAAUUUAAACCCUAUACUUGGGAGCAAAGACUAUGUAAGAAAAAAAAUACCCAUAUUAAAUUUACUCAUUCACCUGAGUAAAAUAAAAGUCUGGUAUUUUAGGCUGCCUUCUUUAUUAAAUCCAGUGUUCCUUUUCAUUUAAGGACUAAGAUAAGCAGCUCAAAAUAAGAUACAAUUACAAUUCAUUUCUAUAUGUUUUGAUUUUGAAUGCUGUCCUCUUUCAACUUCAAGUUCACAGAUGUCCACAGGUGGAAUUAUUUUUCCUUUUCAUAUAAAGUUGGGUUUUUUCUGUAACAGUUACCUCACGCUUAGUAAUCACUUUUGCUUGGGCCACAAUGUCCAAUUUAAAAUGUUCCUGCAAUAUAAUAUUUCACUUUUCAAAAGUAGUAAUUUGGUGGAUGAUUUUACCAGAUAGACAAUGGUUAGAGAAUGGCCCUAAUCUUUGGGCAGAACAAAAUAAUUAUUUCAGGUGGUAAACUGGGAGAAUGACAGGUAAGGCAAAGUCCUGACUCACUGUUUUCUUGAUCAGAAUACCAUUUUGGAAGACAGAAGUAAGUAGAUUGAUAUGAAGCUACUGAAGCAAAAGUUGUAGCCACUAACAUGUCAUUCUGAGAUUCCUCUAGGCAAAACAUUAUGACUUGCCAUGCUUAAGAACAAUUUGGAAGAAACCUUUUGGACCUUGUGGAAGUGAGAGUCCAUCACUUCUCUGCUCUUCAUUAAAACAGCCUGACUUUGAAAUAACAUGUGAGCCUGAAAAAAGAUGCCUUUGUUUUAACGUGUCUCUCAAACUACUCACAACUUUUAUACUAAUAUGGAUCCCUUGGAGCAACUACGGACUAAAUCGCACAUCAAAAUUACUAUGUUUUUCUGUUAUGUUCUAUUACUCUUAAGACCGAGAAAUAUUGAAAGAAUGCCCACAAAUAUUGAAAGAAUGUAUCAAGGCUUAUACUCUUCAAGAGUGCAGGAAUGGCUUCUGGGUGAGUAGCAGAACUGCAUUCAAGACGGUGAUGCUCAGGAUUUCAAAGGCAGACCCUGACCAGCUUCAGUAAUUUAUAGCCUCCUCAUAUAUUCUUUCAAUUUUGGAAAAAGGAUCCUCUGAAUUUUUUCUCAUCAUCACAUUGUACUUCAUUAUUCAUUGUAUUAAAAACCAAGAGGUGAAAAUGGGUAUGUUGAUAAAAAGAAAUUGCAUUUUAAUGCAAGAACAUUCUGUUUCAGUCUUCCAGCUUGUACUUUACCAUUUGUUUUCACUUCAAAUAUAUUUCUGAUUGUUCCUGCCAGUACAUUUUUUAAAGAAUUUUAUUGUCAGAGCCACCCAAACAAUAAGUUCACUUAAUGCAAAAGAAAAAUUUGCUUGUUAUUACAAUUGACUGCAGAAAAAAGAUAUCAAUGCACAUUAUUACUUUUAGUGUCUACUUUGGACUUAAGCUGUACAUGUUCUUAGAUUUAAGAAUGGACCGAUGCCAUUUUUGGAAC
Thamnophis sirtalis is the source of this 2131-nucleotide long non-coding RNA. RefSeq lists it as uncharacterized. The record is from RefSeq and is a predicted model, not a curated record. NCBI's taxonomy places the organism in Eukaryota, Metazoa, Chordata, Lepidosauria, Squamata, Natricidae.